AACGAACGCUGGCGGCGUGCCUAACGCAUGCAAGUCGAGCGAGAAAGUCCCGGCAACGGGAUGAGUACAGCGGCGAACGGGUGAGUAACGCGUGGGUAAUCUACCCUCCAGCUCGGGAUAACCUGCCGAAAGGUGGGCUAAUACCGGAUGAUGUUCCCGUGGGGAUCCUGCGGGAAGCAAAGGGGGCGAGCGUAAGCAGCUCUCACGGGAGGAGGAGGCUGCGUCCGAUUAGCGAGUUGGUGGGGUAAUGGCCUACCAAGGCGACGAUCGGUAGCCGGCCUGAGAGGGCGACCGGCCACACUGGAACUGAGACACGGUCCAGACUCCUACGGGAGGCAGCAGUGGGGAAUCUUGCGCAAUGGGCGAAAGCCUGACGCAGCGACGCCGCGUGGGCGAUGAAGGCCUUCGGGUCGUAAAGCCCUGUCGGGUGGGACGAAUCUCCUGGUGGCGAAUAACCACCGGGCUUGACGGUACCACCGAAGGAAGCCCCGGCUAACUACGUGCCAGCCGCCGCGGUAA
RNAcentral lists this ribosomal RNA (519 nucleotides) under uncultured bacterium. RNAcentral describes it as "partial 16S ribosomal RNA". It matches the Rfam family "Bacterial small subunit ribosomal RNA", at positions 28 to 523 of the family's 1533-position model. The record is from RNAcentral.